This 478-nucleotide ribosomal RNA is filed under the name uncultured bacterium. Its description in RNAcentral is "partial 16S ribosomal RNA". It matches the Rfam family "Bacterial small subunit ribosomal RNA", at positions 28 to 523 of the family's 1533-position model. The record is from RNAcentral.
GAUGAACGCUGACAGAAUGCUUAACACAUGCAAGUCUACUUGAAGCACUUUCGGGUGUGGAUGGUGGCGGACGGGUGAGUAACGCGUAAAUAACUUGCCCCCUAGUCUGGGACAACUGUUGGAAACGACAGCUAAUACUAGAUAUUAUGAGACCUUGGCAUCAAGGACUUAUGAAAGCUAUAUGCGCUGGGGGAGAGAUUUGCGUCCUAUUAGCUAGUUGGUGAGGUAAUGGCUCACCAAGGCGACGAUAGGUAGCCGGCCUGAGAGGGUGAACGGCCACAAGGGGACUGAGACACGGCCCUUACUCCUACGGGAGGCAGCAGUGGGGAAUAUUGGACAAUGGACCAAAAGUCUGAUCCAGCAAUUCUGUGUGCUUGAUGAAGGCCUUCGGGUUGUAAAGAGCUUUAAGUAGGGAAGAAGAAAGUGACGGUACCUACGGAAUAAGCGACGGCUAAAUACGUGCCAGCAGCCGCCGUAA